AACGCACGAGACCUGCGGACCUGCGGAGGGAUCAUUAUCGAGUUUACAACUCCCAAACCAUUGUGAAUCUUACCUUUUCGUUGCUUCGGCGGGAUCGCCCCGGGCGCUUCGGUGCCCCGGAUUCAGGCGCCCGCCGGGGGACCUAAACUCUUGUAUUAUAGUGGAUUUCUGAGUGGAUUACACAAAUAAUCAAAACUUUUAGCAAUGGAUCUCU
This 214-nucleotide unclassified non-coding RNA is filed under the name soil metagenome. RNAcentral's name for it is "partial contains 5.8S ribosomal RNA, internal transcribed spacer 2, and large subunit ribosomal RNA". The record is from RNAcentral.